CACUCCUACGGGGCGCAGCAGUAGGGAAUCUUCCACAAUGGGGGAAACCCUGAUGCAGCAACGCCGCGUGAGUGAAGAAGGUUUUCGGAUUGUAAAGCUCUGUUAGCAGGGAAGAGGAAGGACGGUACCUGCAGAGGAAGCCACGGCUAACUACGCGCCAGCAGCCGCGGUAAUACGUAGGUGGCAAGCGUUGUUCGGAAUAACUGGGCGUAAAGGAUGCGUAGGCGGUUAAACAAGUUAUAUGUUAAAUAUAUAGGCUUAACCUGUAGAAAGCAUAUAAAACUGUUUAA
This 290-nucleotide ribosomal RNA is filed under the name uncultured bacterium. RNAcentral's name for it is "partial 16S ribosomal RNA". It matches the Rfam family "Bacterial small subunit ribosomal RNA", at positions 334 to 640 of the family's 1533-position model. The record is from RNAcentral.